GAUGAACGCUGGCGGCGUGCCUAAUACAUGCAAGUCGAGCGAACGGACGAGAAGCUUGCUUCUCUGAUGUUAGCGGCGGACGGGUGAGUAACACGUGGAUAACCUACCUAUAAGACUGGGAUAAAUUCGGGAAACCGGAGCUAAUACCGGAUAAUAUUUUGAACCGCAUGGUUCAAAAGUGAAAGACGGUCUUGCUGUCACUUAUAGAUGGAUCCGCGCUGCAUUAGCUAGUUGGUAAGGUAACGGCUUACCAAGGCAACGAUGCAUAGCCGACCUGAGAGGGUGAUCGGCCACACUGGAACUGAGACACGGUCCAGACUCCUACGGGAGGCAGCAGUAGGGAAUCUUCCGCAAUGGGCGAAGGCCUGACGGAGCAACGCCGCGUGAGUGGUGAAGGUCUUCGGAUCGUAAAACGCUGUUAUUAGGGAAGAACAUAUGUGUAAGUAACUGUGCACAUCUUGACGGUACCUAAUCAGAAAGCCACGGCUAACUACGUG
RNAcentral lists this ribosomal RNA (497 nucleotides) under uncultured bacterium. Its description in RNAcentral is "partial 16S ribosomal RNA". It matches the Rfam family "Bacterial small subunit ribosomal RNA", at positions 28 to 507 of the family's 1533-position model. The record is from RNAcentral.